This 545-nucleotide ribosomal RNA is filed under the name fungal sp. NMRAF. Its description in RNAcentral is "eukaryotic LSU rRNA". The stretch from base 142 to 295 matches the Rfam family "5.8S ribosomal RNA". The record is from RNAcentral. Lineage: Eukaryota; Fungi.
UCUGCCCCGGGUGCGUCGCAGCCCCGGACCAAGGCGCCCGCCGGAGGACCAACUCCAAAACUCUUUUGUAUACCCCCUCGCGGGUUUUUUAAUAUCUGAGCCAUCUCGGCGCCUCUCGUAGGCGUUUCGAAAAUGAAUCAAAACUUUCAACAACGGAUCUCUUGGUUCUGGCAUCGAUGAAGAACGCAGCGAAAUGCGAUAAGUAAUGUGAAUUGCAGAAUUCAGUGAAUCAUCGAAUCUUUGAACGCACAUUGCGCCCGCCAGUAUUCUGGCGGGCAUGCCUGUCCGAGCGUCAUUUCAACCCUCGAACCCCUCCGGGGGGUCGGCGUUGGGGAUCGGCCCUUUCACGGGGGCCGGCCCCGAAAUACAGUGGCGGUCUCGCCGCAGCCUCUCCUGCGCAGUAGUUUGCACACUCGCAUCGGGAGCGCGGCGCGUCCAAUGCCGUAAAACACCCAACUUUCUGAAAUGUUGACCUCGGAUCAGGUAGGAAUACCCGCUGAACUUAAGCAUAUCAAAGNCGGGAAGGAAGGGUUACCGAGUUUACA